RNAcentral lists this transfer RNA (71 nucleotides) under Lonicera similis. RNAcentral describes it as "tRNA-Gly". It matches the Rfam family "tRNA". From Rfam's summary of the family: Transfer RNA (tRNA) molecules are approximately 80 nucleotides in length. The record is from RNAcentral. Lineage: Eukaryota; Viridiplantae; Streptophyta; Magnoliopsida; Dipsacales; Caprifoliaceae. RNAcentral also lists the same sequence under 1 other name.
GCGGAUAUGUUCGAAUGGUAAAAUUUCUCUUUGCCAAGGAUAAGACGCGGGUUUGAUUCCCGCAUCCCGAU